UACGGAGGGUGCAAGCGUUGUCCGGAAUCACUGGGCGUAAAGGGCGCGUAGGCGGCUCAUGAAAGCUGUGGUGAAAGUCCGGGGGCUCAACCUCGGAUCGGCCGUGGCGACUCGUGGGCUGGAGCACUGUAGAGGCGGGUGGAAUUCCGGGUGUAGCGGUGGAAUGCGUAGAGAUCCGGAAGAACACCAGUGGCGAAGGCGACUUACUGGACACAUAUUGACGCUGAGGUGCGAAAGCGUGGGGAGCAAACAGG
Molecule: ribosomal RNA, 254 nt
Filed under: uncultured bacterium
Lineage: Bacteria
Description: partial 16S ribosomal RNA
Rfam family: Bacterial small subunit ribosomal RNA
Source: RNAcentral